UAGAGUUCGUUUUACUACGUAUUUCUUUAUUUAUCGACCCUCGAUUAAUAUAAUUUCUAUAUUUUUAAAAGGAGGUGAUC
Molecule: non-coding RNA, 80 nt
Filed under: uncultured Nitzschia
Lineage: Eukaryota; Bacillariophyta; Bacillariophyceae; Bacillariales; Bacillariaceae
Source: RNAcentral